This 23-nucleotide non-coding RNA is filed under the name Cricetulus griseus (Chinese hamster). The record is from RNAcentral. Lineage: Eukaryota; Metazoa; Chordata; Mammalia; Rodentia; Cricetidae.
ACAUGGCUCGCACCAAGCAGACG